CUACGGGGCGCUCCAGUCGAGGAAAUUUUACAAUGCUCGCAAGAGUGAUAAAAUAAGCCAGAGUGUUAAUCUUAGAUUAACUUUUAUCUGAUGUAAAAAGUCAGAUGAAUAAGGACUGGGCAAGACCGGUGCCAGCCGCCGCGGUAAUACCGGCGGUCCAAGUUGCAUCCACAUUUAUUGGGUCUAAAACAUUCGUAGCUUGUUUUGUAAGUUUCUUGUGAAAUUUCAUAUCUCAAAUAUGAAGCGUGCAAGAAAUACUGCAUUGCUAGAGACCGGAAGACGUAAGGGGUAUGAUUGAGGUAGUGGUAAAAUACGUUAAUCUUAAUCAGACUAACAAUGGCGAAGGCACCUUACGAGUACGGAUCUGACAGUGAGGGAUGAAGGCCAGGGGCGCGAAAGGGAUUAGAUACCCCAGUAGUC
Molecule: ribosomal RNA, 420 nt
Filed under: uncultured archaeon
Lineage: Archaea
Description: partial 16S ribosomal RNA
Rfam family: Archaeal small subunit ribosomal RNA
Source: RNAcentral